UCUACUGUCCCUGUCUCUUAUUUUUCAUAUCGACGUCUGCUCAUCAACGGGACUCGGUUUGGGUCAACAUAAAUUCUUAUUUCCCCUUGAUGCCCUUCCAUGGAUCUCAAUACUAAUACUAAUACUAAGAAGAAGAAGAAGAAGAAGAACCAAAAGAACAAGAAGAAGAAUGAAAAUGGCAGAGAAACCAUGUGCUAGGAAUAGAGAAAAAUGAGAUAUAUGAGCCAAUUUCUUAUUCUCCUUUUUUUAUAAUUAGAGACAAACCAAGUGCAGAGGAAGGAGAAACAUUAAAUCGAUCAACCUAGUCCGCCUUUUUUUCCUCUCCGCGGCAAGAGACGAACAAAUUGCAACACGAGGAGAGGGAGACUAAAACAACCACACGGGAGAAAUGAAAACACAGACGCAAGAAAAAAUAAAAGAAAGAAAACAAUAAUGGAAGAGGAAAACAACAUAUCAAAAACAUCAGAUAACGAGGAGGAGGAGGAGAAGGGAGAGGAUGAAAAAGAGUAUAUAUAUAUGGGAGCCACGCCAGUCUUUCCUCACCUGAUAACUAUGUCACCACUCCCACGCAGCGGAAGGAAGAUGCGUGUGGCUUUGGUGGUAGUGGUGGUGGCGGUGGUGGUGGCGACGGUGAGCACGCAACCACCAGCAGACAAGCCACAAGGAGACGAGGGGGGUGCCGGGAAGAGAAACCCCAGAUUUAACAUACCAGGGGGUGUUAUGGGCCUCGUAUAUGGAGCAUUGAAUCCCUAUGGCUUUCUUCCGCCCAUGCAUCCGUACCCUCAACCUUAUCCCCACGGCCAGUGUGGUGGGCCCCCCGGAUAUUGUGACUGACUUGGGCACCGUCAUGAAGAUUUUUCUCGAAGUGCAUCCUGCCCAGAACAUGAUUAAUUAGUUUUACCUGUAGAAAGAUCGGUUGUCACCUGUAAUCGGCUAAUCUAUUCUACCCCAGCUCUUGUGGCUGACUGGGGCACCACCAUGGAGGCUUUUUUUCGAAGUGCAUUCCGCCCAUGACUUAGUUGAUUAGUUAACCUGUAGAAAUGUUUUUUUUUUUUUUUUACGGCAAGGGAGGCAGCUCAAGUCCAAAAAAAACAAAAACAAGAAAAAAAAGCCCGCUACACGCUGCUCCGACAAAAGAAAAAAAAAGGAACGAGAGGCCAGAAGAGGGGUCAAGUGCUCUCACCUCUGCUCGACUAAUCUAUUCCACCUGUGUUGUUACAAGUAGUCUCACCUGCCCGGCUGGAAGUAGACACUAAUUAAGCCAUUACUCUGGUUAUUAUGCUUUUAUGAGAUAUUUUUCACUUUCCCUUGCAUAUUUCGAGUCACUGCUGACUGCUUUGUGACCAAUAAACUAAUUACUAUUA
This is a long non-coding RNA of Eriocheir sinensis (Chinese mitten crab), 1364 nucleotides long. RefSeq lists it as uncharacterized. The record is from RefSeq and is a predicted model, not a curated record. Lineage: Eukaryota; Metazoa; Arthropoda; Malacostraca; Decapoda; Varunidae. The transcript has 2 exons.